RNAcentral lists this ribosomal RNA (355 nucleotides) under uncultured bacterium. RNAcentral describes it as "bacterial SSU rRNA". It matches the Rfam family "Bacterial small subunit ribosomal RNA", at positions 163 to 507 of the family's 1533-position model. The record is from RNAcentral.
CUAAUACCGCAUACGAUCUAUGGAUGAAAGGCGGGGGGAUUCGCAAGACCUCGCGCGAUUGGAGCGGGCCGAUAUCAGAUUAGGUAGUUGGUGAGGUAAAGGCUCACCAAGCCGACGAUCUGUAGCUGGUCUGAGAGGACGACCAGCCACACUGGGACUGAGACACGGCCCAGACUCCUACGGGAGGCAGCAGUGGGGAAUUUUUGGACAAUGGGCGCAAGCCUGAUCCAGCAAUGCCGCGUGCAGGAUGAAAGGCCUUCGGGUUGUAAACUGCUUUUGUACGGAACGAAACGGUGAGCUCUAAUACAGUUUGCUAAUGACGGUACCGUAAGAAUAAGCACCGGCUAACUACGUG